UAGGGAAUCUUGGACAAUGGGCGAAAGCCUGAUCCAGCCAUGCCGCGUGAGUGAUGAAGGCCUUAGGGUUGUAAAGCUCUUUCGCCAGGGAAGAUAAUGACGGUACCUGGAUAAGAAGCCCCGGCAAACUUCGUGCCAGCAGCCGCGGUAAUACGAAGGGGGCUAGCGUUGUUCGGAAUUACUGGGCGUAAAGCGCACGUAGGCGGCUUUCCAAGUUGGAGGUGAAAUCCCCGGGCUUAACUCGGGAACUGCCUCCAAAAACUGGACGGCUCGAGUCCGAGAGAGGUGAGUGGAAUUUCCAGUGUAGAGGUGAAAUUCGUAGAUAUUGGAAAGAACACCAGUGGCGAAGGCGGCUCACUGGCUCGGUACUGACGCUGAGGCGCGACAGCGUGGGGAGCAAAACAGGAUUAGAUACCCUGGUAGUCCACGCCGUAAAACGAUGGGUGCUAGUUGUCAGGCAGCUUGCUGUUUGGUGACGCAGCUAACGCAUUAAGCACCCCGCCUGGGGAGUACGGUCGCAAGAUUAAAAACUCAAAUGAAUUGACGGGGUCAUAGCUGUUUCCU
RNAcentral lists this ribosomal RNA (564 nucleotides) under uncultured bacterium. RNAcentral's name for it is "partial 16S ribosomal RNA". It matches the Rfam family "Bacterial small subunit ribosomal RNA", at positions 355 to 1375 of the family's 1533-position model. The record is from RNAcentral.